UACGUAGGGGGCAAGCGUUGUCCGGAAUCAUUGGGCGUAAAGAGCGCGUAGGCGGCCCUGUAAGUCCGCUGUGAAAGUCAAGGGCUCAACCCUUGGAUGCCGGUGGAUACUGCAGGGCUAGAGUCCGGAAGAGGCGAGUGGAAUUCCUGGUGUAGCGGUGGAAUGCGCAGAUAUCAGGAGGAACACCAAUAGCGAAGGCAGCUCGCUGGGACGGUACUGACGCUGAGGCGCGAAAGCGUGGGGAGCGAACAGG
RNAcentral lists this ribosomal RNA (253 nucleotides) under uncultured bacterium. RNAcentral describes it as "partial 16S ribosomal RNA". It matches the Rfam family "Bacterial small subunit ribosomal RNA", at positions 524 to 776 of the family's 1533-position model. The record is from RNAcentral.